Molecule: ribosomal RNA, 780 nt
Filed under: uncultured fungus
Lineage: Eukaryota; Fungi
Description: eukaryotic LSU rRNA
Rfam family: Eukaryotic large subunit ribosomal RNA
Source: RNAcentral
CCCGCUGAACUUAAGCAUAUCAGUAAGCGAAGGAAAAGAAACUAACAAGGAUUCCCUCAGUAACGGCGAGUGAAGUGGGAAAAGCUCAAGUUUUAAAUCUGGGAGGCCUCCUCUCCGAAUUGUAAACUAUAGAAGUGUUUUCUGUGGCAACGGUAGUAAAAGUUCCUUGGAAAAGGACAUCAAAGAGGGUGACAAUCCCGUACUUGACUACCUCAUUGCUGCUCUACGAUACACUCUCUACGAGUCGGGUUGUUUGGGAAUGCAGCUCAAAAUGGGUGGUAAAUUUCAUCUAAAGCUAAAUAUUGGCAAGAGACCGAUAGCGAACAAGUACCGUGAGGGAAAGAUGAAAAGGACUUUGAAAAGAGAGUUAAAUAGUACGUGAAAUUGUUAAAAGGGAAGCGAUUGAGACCAGUAUUUUUAGCCGGAAUUCAGCCAUGUUUGCUCUGAGCUGCUUGCAACACUACGUGAAGUGGGUAGAUUUGGGGUAAAGAAGGUGUACUUUUCUGCUAAAAAGUCAACAUCAGUUUUACGUGCUGGAUAACGACUUUAGGAAGAUGACCUUGUCUUCGGGCAAGGUUUUAUAGACUUUGGUCAAAACAGUGUGUUGGGACUGAGGACAGCAGUGUAGCUGAAUAAGCAUUUCCGGAACUUGUAUUUUGGUGCUAGUCGAGGCAAGACUACAUAAGCAGACUUGCCCUGACGGUGCCUGAGGAAGAGGAAAGGUUACAUACACUUACGAUGUUGACGAAAUGGUUUUAAACGACCCGUCUUGAAACACGG